RNAcentral lists this long non-coding RNA (922 nucleotides) under Sorghum bicolor (sorghum). Its description in RNAcentral is "long non-coding RNA (SBIC_LNC014683)". The record is from RNAcentral. Lineage: Eukaryota; Viridiplantae; Streptophyta; Magnoliopsida; Poales; Poaceae.
ACUUCACCUUUGUUCUAGAGUUUUUCAUAAGUUUUCAAAAUAAAACUCAGAGUUCCCAGCAAUGAUUCUCUCAAGUCUCUCUAUAUGUAGUAUUUGUGGAUCCUUACCAUAAUGUCACUUACCUAUAGCUAAUGGAAUGUUUAAGUGGAGCUCAUAGGAGUGAAAAACAGCUCAUACAUAUGUUGUCUAAUCGAGCCAUGGAUCCAAAGGAACUCAGCAUAUAAUUAAAUCAAGAUGUGCAUGUGUGAUGGAGUAAAUGAUAGUGAUGGUGAAAAUGCAUAAGUGACAAUGAAACUUAGUUCUCAUUGCUCCUCAUAUUGCUAUCUCUCCUCUUCUUUGAUCUUUGCUUUGGGAGAACAUGGGCUAUCUCUUUUUUUUUUCAGGUGGAUAGUAAAUACCCCUAAUUCUACUGUCGGACACUUGUCCAUUUUUUCCGCUCAAGUGGGCAUUUUUGUACCCCUAAUUCUACUUCGGACACUUGUCCAUUUUUACCUCUCAUCUCACUCUUUUUCUUUCUUUUCUGAGGUUCCGGGCACUUGCCCCUUUUUAUUUCCUCGCAUAUUUUUGCAUAACCCAUGCCUCUUCUGCAUUGAAUCUUUUUAGAGAGAGAGAAUAACAAUAUUCGGGACAGUGAGUGAUAAUAUUUUUAGCAAUUUUAAUGAUUGAUGAUGAAUGCUGUGGUAGAUGUGUGCAAGUGAAUAUCUUAACUUAAUCACAUGAAAAGCUCCUAAGGGUCAACACAGCUCGAUCAAACUCAAUGUAAGUGUAGUAAAAGAUGUUAUAGCAAGUAUGGCUGUGGUAGGUAGUUUGUUAUGCUAGGAACUCAACAUGUGAUUUGUAAGUUUUCAAAAUAAAUCUCUAGAACUUAGUGUAGUAGGAACAAGAUAAACAGUAGCUCAAUUUUAUAUCAUGCCUUUCUCUU